AUUGAACGCUGGCGGCAGGCCUAACACAUGCAAGUCGAACGGUAACAGGAAACAGCUUGCUGUUUCGCUGACGAGUGGCGGACGGGUGAGUAAUGUCUGGGAAACUGCCUGAUGGAGGGGGAUAACUACUGGAAACGGUAGCUAAUACCGCAUAACGUCGCAAGACCAAAGAGGGGGGCCUUCGGGCCUCUUGCCAUCGGAUGUGCCCAGAUGGGAUUAGCUAGUAGGUGGGGUAACGGCUCACCUAGGCGACGAUCCCUAGCUGGUCUGAGAGGAUGACCAGCCACACUGGAACUGAGACACGGUCCAGACUCCUACGGGAGGCAGCAGUGGGGAAUAUUGCACAAUGGGCGCAAGCCUGAUGCAGCCAUGCCGCGUGUAUGAAGAAGGCCUUCGGGUUGUAAAGUACUUUCAGCGGGGAGGAAGGGAGUAAAGUUAAUACCUUUGCACAUUGACGUUACCCGCAGAAGAAGCACCGGCUAACUCCGUG
Molecule: ribosomal RNA, 490 nt
Filed under: uncultured bacterium
Lineage: Bacteria
Description: partial 16S ribosomal RNA
Rfam family: Bacterial small subunit ribosomal RNA
Source: RNAcentral